RNAcentral lists this ribosomal RNA (22 nucleotides) under Poikilospermum suaveolens. RNAcentral describes it as "partial 18S ribosomal RNA". The record is from RNAcentral. Lineage: Eukaryota; Viridiplantae; Streptophyta; Magnoliopsida; Rosales; Urticaceae.
AAGGAUCAUUGUUGAUAACUGC